GAAAUGCGAUAAUUAAUGUGAAUUGCAGAAUUCAGUGAAUCAUCGAGUCUUUGAACGCACAUUGCGCCCCCUGGUAUUCCGGGGGCAUGCCUGUCCGAGCGUCAUUGCUGCCCUCAAGCACGGCUUGUGUGUUGGGCUUCCGUCCCUGGCAACGGGGACGGGCCCAAAAGGCAGUGGCGGCACCAUGUCUGGUCCUCGAGCGUAUGGGGCUUUGUCACCCGCUCCCGUAGGUCCAGCUGGCAGCGAGCCUCGCAACCAAUCUUUUUAACCAGGUUGACCUCGGAUCAGGUAGGGAUACCCGCUGAACUUAAGC
RNAcentral lists this unclassified non-coding RNA (313 nucleotides) under plant metagenome. RNAcentral's name for it is "partial contains 5.8S ribosomal RNA, internal transcribed spacer 2, and large subunit ribosomal RNA". The stretch from base 1 to 104 matches the Rfam family "5.8S ribosomal RNA", at positions 50 to 154 of the family's 154-position model. The record is from RNAcentral.